Molecule: ribosomal RNA, 274 nt
Filed under: uncultured soil bacterium
Lineage: Bacteria
Description: partial 16S ribosomal RNA
Rfam family: Bacterial small subunit ribosomal RNA
Source: RNAcentral
AGAAUCAACGCUGGCGGCGUGCCUCAGACAUGCAAGUCGAACGCGAAAGUUCCCUUCGGGGGUGAGUAGAGUGGCGCACGGGUGAGUGACACGUAGGUAAUCUACCUUUGGAUGGGGAAUAACAACCGGAAACGGUUGCUAAUACCGCAUAGUGCAGCGGCACCUAAUGGUGACAGUUGUUAAAGCGGGGGAUCGAAAGACCUCGCGUCUGAAGAGGAGCCUGCGGCGGAUUAGCUAGUUGGUAGGGUAAUGGCCUACAAGGCUACGAUCCGUA